UAGGGAAUCUUCCGCAAUGGACGCAAGUCUGACGGAGCAACGCCGCGUGAGUGAAGAAGGAUUUCGGUUCGUAAAACUCUGUUGUUAGAGAAGAACAGCGCAUAGAGUAACUGUUAUGCGUGUGACGGUAUCUAACCAGAAAGCCACGGCUAACUACGUGCCAGCAGCCGCGGUAAUACGUAGGUGGCAAGCGUUGUCCGGAUUUAUUGGGCGUAAAGCGAGCGCAGGCGGUCAAUUAAGUCUGAUGUGAAAGCCCCCGGCUCAACCGGGGAGGGUCAUUGGAAACUGGUUGACUUGAGUGCAGAAGAGGAGAGUGGAAUUCCAUGUGUAGCGGUGAAAUGCGUAGAUAUAUGGAGGAACACCAGUGGCGAAGGCGACUCUCUGGUCUGUAACUGACGCUGAGGUUCAAAAGCGUGGGUAGCAAACAGG
Molecule: ribosomal RNA, 429 nt
Filed under: Bacteroidota bacterium
Lineage: Bacteria; Pseudomonadati; Bacteroidota
Description: Bacteroidetes bacterium partial 16S ribosomal RNA
Rfam family: Bacterial small subunit ribosomal RNA
Source: RNAcentral